CUCACGUUUUCCAUUUUUUCGGCAAUUAUUAGACGAGUUAUGUAUAGUUUUGGAGUUGUUGCUUCUAGUUGCUUUAAUCUGAGAUUUCAGCAAUUAAAGUUGGAUUAUUUAGCUGUGAAUUGAGCUCCUUAGACCUGGGAUAAGUUUCUUUGAAGCUUAGUAGAGAUGUUUCGCUAAUUACGAAGCUAUUUCGGACUAUACGCGGGUUAUUCUAUCGAAUUGAUGCAAUUUGGGCAUUGUGUCUUCGCAGCAGGUUUUUGAACCAUGUGGAGCUUAUUUGGUGAUCUAGGAGGCUAGUUUAGAAGGUGUUCUACUCUGAGCGAGCUUGCGAUCGAACCCUGGAUUGUCUUCGACUGACUUGUGAGGGCUCUUGGAGGUUACACUUGAGCAGGCUUAGGACUUCGUUGAACUGAUUCUUGGGACAUCUUGUGGCUGAUUUAAGCUGAGUACGAGGUGGGUCGGACCUAACCAGAGCAAGUGAAGCUCCCCUAUGUUCUAUAUGUAUUCUAGAAGUGGUCUAGCCUAUGCUUAUAUGAUUAAUAGGGACUUGAAAUGCGUCACCUUAACGUUAGCUUAUUUGAAAUGGAAUCUCUAUUAAGUAGAGAACAUACAUGCAUAAAGUAUUCAUGUUUAUGUUGACUAGUUGAUAUGUUUCUAGUAUGUUCCUAGACACUAGAGAACAAUGACAUUUUUAUGACA
Long non-coding RNA from Ananas comosus (pineapple), 699 nucleotides. RefSeq lists it as uncharacterized. NCBI's taxonomy places the organism in Eukaryota, Viridiplantae, Streptophyta, Magnoliopsida, Poales, Bromeliaceae. The transcript is spliced from 3 exons. The record is from RefSeq and is a predicted model, not a curated record.